This 72-nucleotide transfer RNA is filed under the name Camelus ferus (Wild Bactrian camel). It matches the Rfam family "tRNA". Rfam says of the family: Transfer RNA (tRNA) molecules are approximately 80 nucleotides in length. The record is from Rfam by way of RNAcentral. Lineage: Eukaryota; Metazoa; Chordata; Mammalia; Artiodactyla; Camelidae.
GGGGGUAUAGCUCAGGGGGAGUGCAGGUGCUUGGUAUGCACGAGAUCCUGGGUUCAAUCCCCAGUCCCUCUG